Molecule: ribosomal RNA, 421 nt
Filed under: uncultured bacterium
Lineage: Bacteria
Description: bacterial SSU rRNA
Rfam family: Bacterial small subunit ribosomal RNA
Source: RNAcentral
UUUUGCGCAAUGCUCGUAAGAGUGACGCAGCGACGCCGCGUGAAUGACGAAGGCCUUCGGGUCGUAAGGUUCUUUCGACAGGGAAGAAAAUGCCUAUAAGUAACUGUGUAUGUAUUGACGGUACCUGUAUAAGCAGCCCCGGCUACCCCCGUGCCAGAACCCGCGGUAAUACGGAGGGGGGCGAGCGUUGUUCGGAGUGACUGGGCGUAAAGAGCACGGAGGCGGUGUUGUAAGUCAUUAGUCAAAGACUAGAGCUCAACUUUAGUAAGGCUAGUGAUACUAUAAUACUAGAGUAUCAGAGAGGAUUGCAGAAUUCCUGGUGUAGCGGUGAAAUGCGUAGAUAUCAGGAGGAAUACCGUUAGCGAAGGCGGCAAUCUGGCUGGAAACUGACGCUGAGGUGCGAAAGCGUGGGUAGCAAACA